GAGAAUUUCCACUCUGAAUUCACAUUCCGUUCAGUGUUAUCGCCACCCUGUGGAUUUCUUGGGUAAUGAAACUCAGACCGGGAAAUGAAAACGGGGAUUUUCAGUAAAUCGGUUCCAGUAAAUCUCUGCUGCUCUUGUGGGCGCCCUCUUUUGAGCACCGGAGGAAUGAGCACCGUUCUUCAUUCUUUUGGUUUUGUAAAGUUGUAGAGCUGCGUUCAUAACUACCUCGCUGGCUUUGAGCACAACCCAGGAAGAAGUUUGAAACCAAGAAAAUGGUGGUUGGGAAGACCAGGAUGCGCAAUGGCAAGGCACCCAAUACAUACAAGGGAGUAAAUGAAUGAAUUAAAGCUGUCUGUAUCUGCUGAUCAUCCACAAUUUAGACGUCCUAUACUACAUUCCAAUUGAGGGCAAGCGGGGUACGUGUCCUGAAUUUAUAGAAUCUUUUGACACAAAGCAAGAGAGCCACAGUCAAGACUCAAGUCAAAAGAAAUUUAGACCCCAUCUGGGCAAACAGGCCUCUAAGCAACAAUCUAAGAUUUCCACCUAUUGUUCUGGCAUUCCUUGUAUAAAUGAUUAUGACUGCAGAGAUCUUAGGAAGUGCUGUGGUACCUUUAGAUGUGGCCUGAGGUGCAUACAUCCUCUUAUGAUUGGCCCUGUAUUUUUCAAUUCACCUCCACAAUCCAAGGCAUAAAUAUUGGAUGGAGAAAUGGAUUCAGAUGGAGGCAUCAUUGAGCUUAUUCUUGACUCAUCUCAGUCCAAACAUUACUCUGUCAAUCGUUGUUCUUAAAAUCUGCAUAUUAAAAGCUCAGCAUCAACUA
Long non-coding RNA from Homo sapiens (human), 818 nucleotides. Ensembl annotates it as long intergenic non-protein coding RNA 2366. Lineage: Eukaryota; Metazoa; Chordata; Mammalia; Primates; Hominidae. The record is from Ensembl.